Molecule: ribosomal RNA, 478 nt
Filed under: uncultured bacterium
Lineage: Bacteria
Description: partial 16S ribosomal RNA
Rfam family: Bacterial small subunit ribosomal RNA
Source: RNAcentral
GACGAACGCUGGCGGCGUGCUUAACACAUGCAAGUCGGACGGUAAGGCCCUUCGGGGUACACGAGUGGCGAACGGGUGAGUAACACGUGGGUGAUCUGCCCUGCACUUCGGGAUAAGCCUGGGAAACUGGGUCUAAUACCGGAUAGGACUCCUGGCUUCAUGGUUGGGGGUGGAAAGCUUUUGCGGUGUGGGAUGGGCCCGCGGCCCAUCAGCUUGUUGGUGGGGUAAUGGCCUACCAAGGCGACGACGGGUAGCCGGCCUGAGAGGGUGACCGGUCACACUGGGACUGAGAUACGGCCCAGACUCCUACGGGAGGCAGCAGUGGGGAAUAUUGCACAAUGGGCGCAAGCCUGAUGCAGCGACGCCGCGUGAGGGAUGACGGCCUUCGGGUUGUAAACCUCUUUCAGCUAUGACGAAGCGCAAGUGACGGUAGUAACAGAAGAAGGACCGGCCAACUACGUGCCAGCCGCCGCCGUAA